AUUGAACGCUGGCGGCAGGCCUAACACAUGCAAGUCGAGCGGCAGCGGGAAAGUAGCUUGCUACUUUUGCCGGCGAGCGGCGGACGGGUGAGUAAUGCCUGGGAAAUUGCCCAGUCGAGGGGGAUAACAGUUGGAAACGACUGCUAAUACCGCAUACGCCCUACGGGGGAAAGCAGGGGACCUGCGGGCCUUGCGCGAUUGGAUAUGCCCAGGUGGGAUUAGCUAGUUGGUGAGGUAAUGGCUCACCAAGGAGACGAUCCCUAGCUGGUCUGAGAGGAGGAUCAGCCACACUGGAACUGAGACACGGUCCAGACUCCUACGGGAGGCAGCAGUGGGGAAUAUUGCACAAUGGGGGAAACCCUGAUGCAGCCAUGCCGCGUGUGUGAAGAAGGCCUUCGGGUUGUAAAGCACUUUCAGCGAGGAGGAAAAGUUGAUGCCUAAUACGUAUCAACUGUGACGUUACUCGCAGAAGAAGCACCGGCUAACUCCGUGCCAGCCGCCGCGGUAA
RNAcentral lists this ribosomal RNA (508 nucleotides) under uncultured bacterium. RNAcentral's name for it is "partial 16S ribosomal RNA". It matches the Rfam family "Bacterial small subunit ribosomal RNA", at positions 30 to 523 of the family's 1533-position model. The record is from RNAcentral.